UUGGGCCGGGCUAAUUGAGCCCAACCAUUUUCUUCUCUUCUACUAUCUUUUUUUUUUAGUUCCUGUCCGGUUGCCUCUCCGAGCUCCGGCGGCCGGCGACCGUGGCUGCUCCCAAACCCCCGCGUGUGCGUAACCUCAAGUGGUUCGAGCCGACCGGCACGUUUCGGUUCCGACCGAGCCGAAUCGAACCGACCGAGCCGUAACCCUAAGUGGCUCGAGGUCACGCCGGCACUGCAUCCUCGGCCUCAACCACCUGCAUCGGCGGCGGCGCGUAACCUCAAGGGCGCGGAGCUGGCUCUUCUCCGUCUCCUCGCUGCCAGGGACGUCCACGACCUCCUCCCCCUCAUACCCACCCACCCCUCCCAACUCCAAUGGCAGCAUGCCCGCCAGCUGCUCAACGAAACGAAACGGCCGACCAACUGACCAGCAUCCAUGCCCAAUCUACUCCAUGGCGCUCGCAACUGAGGUCUUCAACAGUCAACACACACGACGCGGCGCAUGAAUGCAGGCAGGCACACGUUUUUGGAUUGCUAACCUGAAUAUCUGAUGGUUCUGUAGUGAGUGCUGUAAUGUUUACCUCAAGUUGCUACUCUGUGUUUGCAUGAGGAUGAGGUGUGCUUGA
Long non-coding RNA from Triticum dicoccoides, 622 nucleotides. RefSeq lists it as uncharacterized. The record is from RefSeq and is a predicted model, not a curated record. Lineage: Eukaryota; Viridiplantae; Streptophyta; Magnoliopsida; Poales; Poaceae. The transcript is spliced from 2 exons.